RNAcentral lists this ribosomal RNA (301 nucleotides) under uncultured bacterium. RNAcentral's name for it is "partial 16S ribosomal RNA". It matches the Rfam family "Bacterial small subunit ribosomal RNA", at positions 509 to 807 of the family's 1533-position model. The record is from RNAcentral.
CAGUCGCCGCGGGAAUACGAAGGGUGCAAGCGUUAAUCGGAAUUACUGGGCGUAAAGCGUGCGUGGGCGGCUUCUUAAGUCGGAUGUGAAAUCCCUGAGCUUAACUUAGGAAUUGCAUUCGAUACUGGGAAGCUAGAGUAUGGGAGAGGAUGGUAGAAUUCCAGGUGUAGCGGUGAAAUGCGUAGAGAUCUGGAGGAAUACCGAUGGCGAAGGCAGCCAUCUGGCCUAAUACUGACGCUGAGGUACGAAAGCAUGGGGAGCAAACAGGAUUAGAUACCCCUGUAGUCCCUGUCUCUUAUAC